RNAcentral lists this ribosomal RNA (382 nucleotides) under uncultured eukaryote. RNAcentral's name for it is "partial 18S ribosomal RNA". It matches the Rfam family "Eukaryotic small subunit ribosomal RNA", at positions 592 to 976 of the family's 1831-position model. The record is from RNAcentral.
CAAUAGCGUAUAUUAAAGUUGUUGCAGUUAAAAAGCUCGUAGUUGGAUUUCUGGCAGGAGCGUCCGGUCUCACACUCAGUGCGGGAACUUGGAUGUCUCUGGCCAUCUUUGGGGAUAUCCUGUUUGGCAUUAAGUUGUCGGGCAGGGGAUACCCAUCGUUUACUGUGAACAAAUUAGAGUGUUUAAAGCAGGCUUAUGCCGUUGAAUAUAUUAGCAUGGAAUAAUAAGAUAGGACGUAGGUACUAUUUUGUUGGUUUGCGCACCCACGUAAUGAUUAAUAGAGACAGGCGGGGCUAUUCGUAUUGCAUUGUCAGAGGUGAAAUUCUUGGAUUUCUGCAAGACGAACUACUGCGAAAGCAUUUAGCAAGGAUGUUUUCAUUAA